This 306-nucleotide unclassified non-coding RNA is filed under the name fungal sp. RNAcentral's name for it is "partial internal transcribed spacer region". The stretch from base 1 to 46 matches the Rfam family "Eukaryotic small subunit ribosomal RNA", at positions 1786 to 1831 of the family's 1831-position model. Lineage: Eukaryota; Fungi. The record is from RNAcentral.
AAGUCGUAACAAGGUAACCGUAGGUGAACCUGCGGUUGGAUCAUUAGAGUAGUUUGAAAAGGGAAGAAUUUGUAACAGUUUUUAAUUGGUGCAGCUUCUUUCCUUUUUCUAAACAUAUUCCCCUAAUUGUACAUGUUUCCUGUUUAUUAGACAGCCCUGCAUUUUUUGUUGGGCUGGCUAAUUGUGACUAACGCUUAUUAUCUUGUGUAUAUUUUUGCUUGCAAUGUUUCCAUUCAAUAUUGUUGUUUGGUUUCUUGCAUUUUUUAUUAAUGAAUACAACUUUAGACAAUGGAUCUCUUGGCUCUC